CCUGCUCUGUGAACCCAUCAUCAUCAUCUGGAUGGAAAUACUACUGGUACAGAGAUGGAAAUUACUCUGAAGCCCGAACCACACAAGAUGCAGUUUUCCACUCAAAUGGACAAAUCAGUGUCUCACAGGAAGGACUCUACAGGUGCAGAGGAGGAAGAGGAAACCCAGUUUACUACACAGAGGACAGCCAAGAAGUUCAGAUUAACAAAACUGUAACUGUGUCAGGAGCUGACAGCUCAUCUUCUCCUGUGUGGUUGAUUGUUGGACUGGUUUGUGGAGUCUCUCUCAUUAUUAUUCUCCUGCUCUUGUUGUAUCGCUGCAGACAGUCCAAGUAUUCCUGCUUCACCAGGU
Long non-coding RNA from Pelmatolapia mariae (spotted tilapia), 351 nucleotides. RefSeq lists it as uncharacterized. Lineage: Eukaryota; Metazoa; Chordata; Actinopteri; Cichliformes; Cichlidae. The transcript has 3 exons. The record is from RefSeq and is a predicted model, not a curated record.